RNAcentral lists this ribosomal RNA (253 nucleotides) under uncultured bacterium. RNAcentral describes it as "partial 16S ribosomal RNA". It matches the Rfam family "Bacterial small subunit ribosomal RNA", at positions 524 to 776 of the family's 1533-position model. The record is from RNAcentral.
UACGUAGGGUGCAAGCGUUGUCCGGAAUUAUUGGGCGUAAAGAGCUCGUAGGCGGUCUGUUGCGUCGGCUGUGAAAACCCGGGGCUCAACCCCGGGCCUGCAGCCGAUACGGGCAGACUAGAGUUCGGCAGGGGAGACUGGAAUUCCUGGUGUAGCGGUGAAAUGCGCAGAUAUCAGGAGGAACACCUAUGGCGAAGGCAGCUCGCUGGGACGUUACUGACGCUGAGACGCGAAAGCGUGGGGAGCAAACAGG